This 66-nucleotide microRNA precursor is filed under the name Homo sapiens (human). Its description in RNAcentral is "miAB22_pre". The record is from RNAcentral. Lineage: Eukaryota; Metazoa; Chordata; Mammalia; Primates; Hominidae.
CCGGGGGUUAGAGCUUCAACCUCCAGUAUGAUGGUAUUGAGGUUAGAGCUUCAACCUCCAGUGUGA